GACGAACGCUGGCGGCGUGCUUAACACAUGCAAGUCGAACGAAGAGCGACGGAAGCUUGCUUCUAUCAAUCUUAGUGGCGAACGGGUGAGUAACGCGUAGUCAACCUGCCCUUCAGAGGGGGACAACAGUUGGAAACGACUGCUAAUACCGCAUACGAUCUAAUCUCGGCAUCGAGGAUGGAUGAAAGGUGGCCUCUACAUGUAAGCUAUCACUGAAGGAGGGGAUUGCGUCUGAUUAGCUAGUUGGAGGGGUAACGGCCCACCAAGGCGAUGAUCAGUAGCCGGUCUGAGAGGAUGAACGGCCACAUUGGGACUGAGACACGGCCCAGACUCCUACGGGAGGCAGCAGUGGGGAAUCUUCCGCAAUGGACGAAAGUCUGACGGAGCAACGCCGCGUGAGUGAUGACGGCCUUCGGGUUGUAAAGCUCUGUUAAUCGGGACGAAAGGCCUUCUUGCGAAUAGUGAGAAGGAUUGACGGUACCGGAAGAGAAAGCCACGGCUAACUACGUG
This 510-nucleotide ribosomal RNA is filed under the name uncultured bacterium. RNAcentral describes it as "partial 16S ribosomal RNA". It matches the Rfam family "Bacterial small subunit ribosomal RNA", at positions 28 to 507 of the family's 1533-position model. The record is from RNAcentral.